Molecule: ribosomal RNA, 497 nt
Filed under: uncultured bacterium
Lineage: Bacteria
Description: partial 16S ribosomal RNA
Rfam family: Bacterial small subunit ribosomal RNA
Source: RNAcentral
GACGAACGCUGGCGGCGUGCCUAAUACAUGCAAGUAGAACGCUGAAGAGAGGAGCUUGCUCUUCUUGGAUGAGUUGCGAACGGGUGAGUAACGCGUAGGUAACCUGCCUUGUAGCGGGGGAUAACUAUUGGAAACGAUAGCUAAUACCGCAUAACAAUGGAUGACACAUGUCAUUUAUUUGAAAGGGGCAAUUGCUCCACUACAAGAUGGACCUGCGUUGUAUUAGCUAGUAGGUGAGGUAAUGGCUCACCUAGGCGACGAUACAUAGCCGACCUGAGAGGGGGAUCGGCCACACUGGGACUGAGACACGGCCCAGACUCCUACGGGAGGCGGCAGUAGGGAAUCUUCGGCAAUGGGGGCAACCCUGACCGAGCAACGCCGCGUGAGUGAAGAAGGGUUUCGGAUCGUAAAGCUCUGUUGUAAGUCAAGAACGGGUGUGAGAGUGGAAAGUUCACACUGUGACGGUAGCUUACCAGAAAGGGACGGCUAACUACGUG